Molecule: unclassified non-coding RNA, 331 nt
Filed under: Hevea brasiliensis (rubber tree)
Lineage: Eukaryota; Viridiplantae; Streptophyta; Magnoliopsida; Malpighiales; Euphorbiaceae
Source: RNAcentral
UUUCCAGUUCUUGGCGCUAUUUUGGUAUGCCUAUAUUUAAUCAUUCUGGCUUUUUUAUGAUUUUUAUGAAUGUUGAUAUCCCAUGAAAUGCAUUGACUGGCAUGUUCAUGUUGUAGUUGGAGAUUGAUAUGGAAUAUGUUUAUGCCCCCAUGAAAACUUCCAUUCUAUAUAGAAUGUGUUUUGGUGAUAUUUUCAUCACAAGUUUGACAAUUUUUAAGAAUCAAAUCGGAUAUGUGGGCUUGUUUUUCUUUUAUUAUGUGUUUGCUUUUGAGUGAUGCACCUGAUAUAAGUUUUAAUAUGUUCUGCAGUGAUUGCAAAUGGCCUUUUUAAG